Molecule: ribosomal RNA, 253 nt
Filed under: uncultured bacterium
Lineage: Bacteria
Description: partial 16S ribosomal RNA
Rfam family: Bacterial small subunit ribosomal RNA
Source: RNAcentral
UACGUAGGGUGCAAGCGUUGUUCGGAAUCACUGGGCGUAAAGAGAGCGUAGGCGGGAUUGUAAGUUAGGAGUUUAAUGCAUGGGCUCAACCCAUGAACUGCUCUUAAUACUGCAAUUCUUGAGUAUGGGAGAGGACGAUGGAAUUCCAGGUGUAGCGGUGGAAUGCGUAGAUAUCUGGAAGAACACCAGUAGCGAAGGCGGUCGUCUGGCCUAAUACUGACGCUGAGGCUCGAAAGCUAGGGGAGCAAACAGG